Long non-coding RNA from Oncorhynchus tshawytscha (Chinook salmon), 1453 nucleotides. The record is from Ensembl. NCBI's taxonomy places the organism in Eukaryota, Metazoa, Chordata, Actinopteri, Salmoniformes, Salmonidae.
AACCCCAUCUACAUGUCCUCCAACCCCAUCUACACGUCCUCCAACCCCAUCUACACGUCCUCCAACCCCAUCUACACAUCCUCCAACCCCAUCUACACAUCCUCCAACCCCAUCUACACAUCCUACAGCCCCAUCUACACGUCCUCCAACCCCAUCUACACAUCCUCCAACCCCAUCUACACGUCCUCCAACCCCAUCUACACGUCCUCCAACCCCAUCUACACGUCCUCCAACCCCAUCUACACGUCCUCCAACCCCAUCUACACGUCCUCCAACCCCAUCUACACGUCCUCCAACCCAUCUACACGUCCUCCAACCCCAUCCAUGUCCUCCAACCCAUCUACACGUCCUCCAACCCCAUCUACACGUCCUACAACCCCAUCUACACGUCCUCCAACCCCAUCUACACAUCCUACAACCCCAUCUACACGUCCUACACGUCCUCCAACCCCAUCUACACGUCCUCCAACCCCAUCUACACGUCCUCCAACCCCAUCUACACGUCCUACAACCCCAUCUACACGUCCUACAACCCCAUCUACACGUCCUCCAACCCCAUCUACACGUCCUCCAACCCAUCUACACAUCCUCCAACCCCAUCUACACUUCCUCCAACCCCCAUCUACACGUCCUCCAACCCCAUCUACACGUCCUACAACCCCAUCUACACGUCCUACAACCCCAUCUACACGUCCUCCAACCCCAUCUACACGUCCUCCAACCCCAUCUACACGUCCUCCAACCCCAUCUACACGUCCUACAACCCAUCUACACGUCCUACAACCAUCCUCCAACCUGCCAUCUACACGUCCUACAACCCAUCUACACGUCCUACAACCCCAUCUACACGUCCUCCAACCCCAUCUACACGUCCUACAACCCAUCUACACGUCCUCCAACCCCAUCUACACGCACAUCCUCCAACCCCAUCUACACGUCCUCCAACCCCAUCUACACGUCCUACAACCCCAUCUACACGUCCUACAACCCCAUCUACACAUUCCUCCAGCCCCAUCUACCUCCAACCCCAUCUACACGUCCUCCAACCCAUCUACACGUCCUCCAACCCCAUCUACACUUCCUCCAACCCAUCUACAUGUCCUCCAACCCCAUCUACACGUCCUACAACCCCAUCUACACGUCCUACAACCCCAUCUACACGUCCUCCAACCCCAUCUACACGUCCUACAACCCCAUCUACACGUCCUACAACCCCAUCUACACGUCCUACAACCCCAUCUACACAUCCUCCAACCCCAUCUACACGUCCUCCAACCCCAUCUACACUUCCUCCAACCCCAUCUACAUGUCCUCCAACCCCAUCUACACGUCCUCCAACCCCAUCUACACUUCCUCCAACCCCAUCUACACUUCCUCCAACCCCAUCUACACUUCCUCCAACCCCAUCUACACUUCCUCCAACCCCAUCUACAUGUCCUCCAACCCCAUCUCC